UUGCCACGGUUGGAGGCUCUUUAAAUCAUCUGUUAAGGGGCAAAGGGGCCCAUGGAGGCCUAGUCAAAUUUGAAACCACGUUUGCACUUGAAUAUUCAUCGUUUUGGUCCAGAGAGGAUUCGAUGGUCUGAAUUCUUGGGCUUAUCUUGGUAAAACACUGGAAGUUGGGCCAUCUUGUUCACUAGCUAGUUUAUAUUUUAUAUAUAUAUAUUGUACUAGUUGCCUGCUUUUUAAUCGCUUUGGUUGUAGGAAAAUAUCCCUUGGGGUUCUUAAAUAUAUGGAGGAACCUCACGAUUUGUCUGAUUUGGUUUGAAUUCUGCUGUUGAGUGUUUUAAAUAUGAAUUCUUGGGAUCUGGAACUGUCUAAACGACAACAGUCUGAAAGCAUACACUAAUAAGGUUUUCUUCCUGUGCAAAAAAAACAACAACAACCCUUCAACUCACUGCUUUUAUCAGUGUAGGAAAGAUGAAUGGCAGCAGAAUUAUAUGACUGCAAGAUGUUAACUUGAUAUUCAGCUUUCUCUCUGACAUUAAAGCUACUGAAGAUAUUUAUGAUUUGGUUUAAUGUCCUAAGGUUGUACUGGGGAAGUCGGGCAAGUGUAAAAUAAGGUAACAGAGAAUUAAAUACGUGAUUUUUUCCCCCUCUCAGCUGCAAGUUAUAUUCUUUCUGUCUUCCUCCAAAAGCAGACUGCCAAGAAUGUUUUGAGUGUUGUUGUUUUUUGUUCCUCUCCAAAAUGUGUUUGUCUUUUCCAUGAAAAAUUGAAAACCGCGAUGCAAGGAAAUACCAUUUUUCUUUGUGGAGACACCCGUCUGUAUGAUGUAUUUUUGGCAUCGUUGCAGACUUGACUGCUUUUAAUGCCUGGGAGAAACUGUGUUUGCUGGGCUGGCUUUAAUGACUUACUUCAUUACGCUGUUUUUUCGUGCUGUUUUUGAAUAUAUGAAGCUUCAGGACCGAAUUCCUCACGUGAUUGAAGUCCUGGCCUAACAUUGAGAGUCCCUGAUUAUCUUUCUUCUGGUUUGAUUUGGUAAUGUUAAUGCAAUACCCCCCCAAAUAUUAAACCUUAGGGAAAUAUUAGAGGCAGGGAUACAAAAGAUUGGUUAGUCUACUGUAAGUUGCUGCAGGUUUAUGGGCCAAGUUUCAGGGUUCUUUUGCCAACGUGAUUCAUGAAGCCAGUAAUUCAAAAGUUUUAGGAAAGUCAUUUUUAAUAUAUUUAAAAUGUACAAAAUUGAAACCAUGCUUACAUCUCAGAAACAUCCCAUUCUGAUGAUGCAUGCUUGCCAGAUUGUUUUAGAAAUCAGAUUUCAAUGGCCAGCGUGUUUUAUUUUAAAGGAAACUUUCUCCGUUGAAAAGUUAGUGCUGCUUUAUGGAAGACAAUCUAAAGCAUAUAUUGAAAAUGCAGCUGUCUGUUAAACAUUGACAUUGUUCUGGUUGCUUUAAAAAGUGUCCUGAAUAGAGAUUGAUUCCAAAGAAUUUGGUAUAUGGUCAGUCAGUUUUCUGGGUAAAUUUACUGGGUAAUGUAAAAAGCAAGUUCAGUUUUGGGAUUGUAACGCAGAGGUGAGAUUGUGUUACUGUAGAAAUAAAUCCAUUUACAGCCAAUAAUAAGCUUUUUCCCCCCCAAUUCUGCGGGUCUGUGGUUGCAAUUUUCUCAAAUCAGAAGGCAUGCAAAAAUAAAUAAAUAACUUUAACGGAAGAAGCCUACAGACCAAUUGAUGGCUUCAUGAGUAAGAACAAAUGAUUCGUGGAACUUUACAAAACUGUAUGUAGUUUUAUGUUAAGUUUGUUGGAUUUUUUCCCCCUCCACUUUCUUCUAGAACUCUUCCAACUCUUUUUCUGAAACAACUUUGUGAGUAGACUAGACUGAGAAUAAGUUACUCCCUGGGCCAAGGUGACCCCCCCAAACCUGAGUCUCCCCCAUCCUCAUCCUUAACUAUUACUCUACUCCGGCUUGGUCAGAUAUUAUUUCUUAAUUAGUUGUCUUUUACAACCAACUGAUAACACGUGGACGAACUUUAAACACAGAAUAUUUCGAGAGACCUCAGAUACGUGUUUGAAAAGGAUAAACUUUAUUUACAAAUGGAAAUGUUUCAAACAAAAAGGAAAAAAAAAAGGAACACAGUGAGUACAUCAUGACCCUAAAAAGGCGUGCCCGAUGUCACCGCUGUAAGUUGUGGAAACCUUUACAUAAUGCAUCUCUUUAUUUUGUUCACCAAAGCUUGUUCCUGGCAUGGAAGAUCCGUUGGAGGACACUAAACCGUAAAGCUGAUUUCACCUUCAAUAAAAACGGAUGGAAAGGAUCGAACAGCUUUUCAAUACUACUUACUAAUGUUCGGAAAUACUUUAAAAGCAUUUUGUCUAUUUUAAUUACCGAGGAUGGAGUUGACUCUAAUGUCUCUCUCAGCAUCUUCACAUACCUCUGACCUCCUGAGUCUAGGAACAGUAAGAACAUAAGCUGUGCACAUUUCUGCAUAGAUAUUUGGUC
Molecule: non-coding RNA, 2479 nt
Organism: Notechis scutatus (mainland tiger snake)
Lineage: Eukaryota; Metazoa; Chordata; Lepidosauria; Squamata; Elapidae
Source: RefSeq, a predicted model, not a curated record